Molecule: ribosomal RNA, 440 nt
Filed under: uncultured bacterium
Lineage: Bacteria
Description: partial 16S ribosomal RNA
Rfam family: Bacterial small subunit ribosomal RNA
Source: RNAcentral
CCUACGUGGGGCAGCAGUGGGGGAUAUUGCACAAUGGGGGGAACCCUGAUGCAGCGACGCCGCGUGGGUGAAGAAGCGCCUCGGCGCGUAAAGCCCUGUCAGCAGGGAAGAAAAUGACGGUACUUGAAGAAGAAGCCCCGGCUAACUACGUGCCAGCAGCCGCGGUAAUACGUAGGGGGCAAGCGUUAUCCGGAUUUACUGGGUGGAACGGGGGUGCAGACGGCGGUGCAAGCCAGGAGUGAAAGCCCGGGGCCCAACCCCGGGACUGCUCUUGGUACUGCGUGGCUAGAGUGCAGGAGGGGCAGGCAGAAUUCCUGGUGUAGCGGUGAAAUGCGUAGAUAUCAGGAGGAACACCGGUGGCGAAGGCGGCCUGCUGGACUGCGACUUACGUUGAGGCCCGAAAGCGUGGGGAGCAAACAGGAUUAGAUACCCUUGUAGUC